AGCAAGGGAAAAGGUCCCAAGCUGCCUCAGGCAGGAUUGCAGCUCCUCGGGAGAGGAGAGACUAAGCUAGAGAAAGACGAAGAGGAGGCUAAUAAAAAAACUCAUAUCCAGGAUGCAAACAAUUUUUGAAGAAAGCCUCAGUAAUUCUAGACAUGCAUCUGAACAGCACAUUUUCCACAACAGCUGUUCUGGAGUCCAUGAAGCAGCCAUGGACACAGGCAGGCUGCUUUGUCCUACAUCAGUCUGAGCUGAUUCCAGGACUUAGACCUCUGUUGGACGUUAUUAUUUACAUCCAGGAGCUCCGUUUUCAUU
Long non-coding RNA from Apodemus sylvaticus (European woodmouse), 312 nucleotides. RefSeq lists it as uncharacterized. The record is from RefSeq and is a predicted model, not a curated record. NCBI's taxonomy places the organism in Eukaryota, Metazoa, Chordata, Mammalia, Rodentia, Muridae. The transcript is spliced from 3 exons.